GUCCAUUCGAGGACAUUCCAUAAAUUAGAUCGAGACAAAGAAGAUUAACAUAGCCCCUACGUAAGGAUGACACACAAAAAUCAAAAAAUGAUCCAAAUUUUA
Small nuclear RNA from Trifolium pratense (red clover), 102 nucleotides. NCBI's taxonomy places the organism in Eukaryota, Viridiplantae, Streptophyta, Magnoliopsida, Fabales, Fabaceae. The record is from RefSeq and is a predicted model, not a curated record.